UACGGAGGGUGCAAGCGUUAAUCGGAAUUACUGGGCGUAAAGGGUGCGUAGGUGGUUUGACAAGUCACAUGUAGAAGCCCCCGGGCUCAACCUGGGAAUGUCGUGUGAAACUGUUGAACUUGAGUACGGGAGAGGGCAGUGGAAUUUCCGGUGUAGCGGUGAAAUGCGUAGAUAUCGGAAGGAACAUCAGUGGCGAAAGCGACUUCCUGGACCAAUACUGACGCUCAUGUGCGAAAGCGUGGGAGCAAACAGG
RNAcentral lists this ribosomal RNA (253 nucleotides) under uncultured bacterium. RNAcentral's name for it is "partial 16S ribosomal RNA". It matches the Rfam family "Bacterial small subunit ribosomal RNA", at positions 524 to 776 of the family's 1533-position model. The record is from RNAcentral.